GUUCCAUGGACUAUAUAGUGCAUGGGGCCGUAAAGAGUCAGACUCAACUGAGUGACUUUCACUUCUCUGCUAAUAAUACAAAGCAUUUUGGAUGUGCAGAGUACCUUUAUGGCAGUCGUACUUGAAGAAACAGAAAGUAAGGCUGCCCUGUUUGAAGGGGGCACCAGGAGAGGAAGGGCCUGCUCUCUUCGUUGCAGGCGGCUGCUGCCUGGUGAUCCAGCACCGUGCCUGAAGUCAGCAUCCUGGUUCUGACACUUACCAGCUGUGGGAUCUUGGCAAAACCUGUCUUACCCGGGUUAAAUGUGGGCAGUUUUUAAAAGUAGGGUAUUUUCUUAGAAAGGGUUUAGGAAAUCUUCAAGCACCUGAGUAUUAAUUUUAACAGAGUAUCUCUGGGAGCCUUCCACAGAAGUGUGUGGAUCCUUUAUCUGGAGCUGCUGGCCAAAGAGGAAAAAAGACAUUAAAUGGACAAGUAGAAGGUAAUUUUAACAAAACUUACAGAUGUGUCAGCAGAACUAGACUUAGAACUGAUAUGAGAGGAAGAACAAGAAAAAUUAUGAUGGAGAUGAAAAUAACCAUUCACAGGUCAAAGCACAGAUUAAUGAUGUGAGCUACCUGAAUGACUGAACUCAGUCAUCUGAAAGUACUUCCCAGGAUGGUGAUGUCUUUACUCUAAGAUUUCCAUGUUGCAAGUAGAACUGCUUGGCUUGAGGUAUAAAGGAAGAGCUCUAUAAAUUUUGCAGAUUGACCUUAAAGCAAGAAGAAGAGAAUAGAAGAAAUGCUGACAUGUUAUAUGAAAAAAUUAGGGAGCAGUUAAGAAGAAAGGAAGAACAAUAUAGUAAAGAAGCUGAAAUGAAACAGCAACUUGAACUCACUCUCAGAGCACUAGAUGGAACUGAAGACUGAGAAAUGAUCUGAAUCAGGUUAUGGAAGAAUGACAUGACACUCAGAACCAGCUUUCUGGAGAACGGAAUGCCAGAAUCUCACAGGAGGGAAUCCUGGCCAAUCACCUUGCCAAACAAAAGCAGAAAGAAAUGGCUGAUAAGGAAAUGAACUCUUAGGGGAGUUGGGCCUCCUUCCAGUUGCUGUAGGAAACUUGGCCUUCCUCUCAAGAGGUGAUGGGUAUCUCAGGUCUGCGAUUGAGUUGCAACAGGUGAGUUGGGCCUCCUCUCGAGUUGCUAGAGGGACCUAUAUGUUUCUCUUGAGUGGCUGCAGAGAUAUCGGGCCUCAUCUCAAGAUGAGGCGGAGCCAUGGUGUUUUUC
Odocoileus virginianus texanus is the source of this 1259-nucleotide non-coding RNA. Lineage: Eukaryota; Metazoa; Chordata; Mammalia; Artiodactyla; Cervidae. The record is from RefSeq and is a predicted model, not a curated record.